Molecule: ribosomal RNA, 418 nt
Filed under: uncultured Gemmatimonas sp.
Lineage: Bacteria; Pseudomonadati; Gemmatimonadota; Gemmatimonadia; Gemmatimonadales; Gemmatimonadaceae
Description: bacterial SSU rRNA
Rfam family: Bacterial small subunit ribosomal RNA
Source: RNAcentral
GGGGAAGUCUUGCGCAAUGGCCGAAAGGCUGACGCAGCGACGCCGCGUGGGGGAGGAAGGGCUUCGGCUCGUAAACCCCUGUUGCCCGGGCGAAGCAUCCCUUUUCGAGGGGACUGACGGUACCGGGUGAGGAAGCACCGGCUAACUCCGUGCCAGCAGCCGCGGUAAUACGGAGGGUGCGAGCGUUGUCCGGAAUCACUGGGCGUAAAGGGCGCGUAGGUGGCCGAGCAAGGUUGCGGGUGAAAGCCCGGGGCUCAACCCCGGGUCGGCCGUGGCAACUACUUGGCUUGAGCACUGUAGGGGCGGGUGGAAUUCCGGGUGUAGCGGUGGAAUGCGUAGAGAUCCGGAAGAACACCGGUGGCGAAGGCGGCCCGCUGGGCAGGAAGGCUCGCAAGAGCGAAAGCGUGGGGAGCAAACA